GACGAACGCUGGCGGCGUGCUUAACACAUGCAAGUCGAACGGAAAGGCCCUGCUUGCAGGGUACUCGAGUGGCGAACGGGUGAGUAACACGUGGGUGAUCUGCCCUGCACUUCGGGAUAAGCCUGGGAAACUGGGUCUAAUACCGGAUAGGAGCCAUUUUUAGUGUGAUGGUUGGAAAGUUUUUUUGGUGAAGGAUGAGCUCGCGGCCUAUCAGCUUGUUGGUGGGGUAAUGGCCUACCAAGGCGGCGACGGGUAGCCGGCCUGAGAGGGUGGACGGCCACAUUGGGACUGAGAUACGGCCCAGACUCCUACGGGAGGCAGCAGUGGGGAAUAUUGCACAAUGGGCGCAAGCCUGAUGCAGCGACGCCGCGUGGGGGAUGACGGCCUUCGGGUUGUAAACUCCUUUCGCUAGGGACGAAGCUUGUGUGACGGUACCUAGAUAAGAAGCACCGGCUAACUACGUG
RNAcentral lists this ribosomal RNA (464 nucleotides) under uncultured bacterium. RNAcentral describes it as "partial 16S ribosomal RNA". It matches the Rfam family "Bacterial small subunit ribosomal RNA", at positions 28 to 507 of the family's 1533-position model. The record is from RNAcentral.